RNAcentral lists this ribosomal RNA (369 nucleotides) under uncultured bacterium. RNAcentral describes it as "bacterial SSU rRNA". It matches the Rfam family "Bacterial small subunit ribosomal RNA", at positions 917 to 1289 of the family's 1533-position model. The record is from RNAcentral.
GGGCCCGCACAAGCGGUGGAGUAUGUGGUUUAAUUCGAUGCAACGCGAAGAACCUUACCAGGGUUUGACAUCCUGCGAAUCUCUUGGAAACGAGAGAGUGCCUUCGGGAACGCAGUGACAGGUGGUGCAUGGCUGUCGUCAGCUCGUGUCGUGAGAUGUUGGGUUAAGUCCCGCAACGAGCGCAACCCACGUCGUUAGUUGCCAGCAUUUUAGUUGGGCACUCUAGCGAGACCGCCGGUGAUAAACCGGAGAAGGUGUGGAUGACGUCAAGUCAUCAUGCCCCUUACAUCUGGGCUACACACGUACUACAAUGCUACGGACAAAGGGCAGCAAGUUCGCGAGGACAAGCAAAUCCCAUAAACGUGGCUC